GACGAACGCUGGCGGCGUGCUUAACACAUGCAAGUCGAACGGAAAGGCCCUGCUUUUGUGGGGUGCUCGAGUGGCGAACGGGUGAGUAACACGUGAGUAACCUGCCCUUGACUUUGGGAUAACUUCAGGAAACUGGGGCUAAUACCGGAUAGGAGCUCCUGCUGCAUGGGGGGGGUUGGAAAGUUUCGGCGGUUGGGGAUGGACUCGCGGCUUAUCAGCUUGUUGGUGGGGUAGUGGCUUACCAAGGCUUUGACGGGUAGCCGGCCUGAGAGGGUGACCGGCGACAUUGGGACUGAGAUACGGACCAGACUCCAACGGGAGGCAGCAGUGGAGAAUAUUGCACAAUGGGCGGAAGCCUGAUGCAGCAACGCCGCGUGCGGGAUGACGGCUUUCGGGUUGUAAACCGCUUUCGCCUGUGACGAAGCGUGAGUGACGGUAAUGGGUAAAGAAGCACCGGCUAACUACGUG
This 468-nucleotide ribosomal RNA is filed under the name uncultured bacterium. Its description in RNAcentral is "partial 16S ribosomal RNA". It matches the Rfam family "Bacterial small subunit ribosomal RNA", at positions 28 to 507 of the family's 1533-position model. The record is from RNAcentral.